UAACGGUUCAGAAUAUGGAACAGGAAGUUCUAAAAUACAAAAGUUUGUUACCUAGGUUACAGCAUAAUUACAAAAAACAAGAUGACCUUAUUGUCACGACUUUGAAAGCCUCUAUCCUUCUCUCAAACUUAAGCCUACCUUUUAGCUUUCUACAGGUUCCUUCUCACCAAUACACCAGCAGCCCAAGACAUAGCCCCAUUUCUAAGGGAAAUAGCUGGUGUUAUAUGUCAUAAAUUAUUCUUCUGCUUUAAAGGAAGAUUUUACCAACAGAUCACUGGAGUACCAAUUGGAAGUCCAAUGGCUGGCUUACUAGCAGAAAUACUCUUGAAGCAAGUAGAACAUCUAAUCCUGCAAAAUUUGAACCAAAAUUAAAAUUUUACGUGGGAUAUGUAGAUGAUAUUUUUAUGUUACUGAACAUUGAUACUAAGAUUAACAAUUUUGAAGCUGCUUUUAGAUUCCCUUCAUACAGGCUAGUCUUAAGAAAAUCCCACAAGACCACAACACAGCUCACUUCCUGGACAUCAACAGGAAAUUAGAAAGGGAAACAUUAAAAACUGCAGUUUACUGCAAACCAUCGCACUAGCCAAUUGUAAUCCCUAGAUAGUCCCAGACUCUGUCCUAUAAGAGAGCAGCAGUUAGAUUGUUCUUCAAGAGAGCGUUCCUGUAUACGUCUGACCAACAAGACUUACAAGCUGAAAUAGAUUACAUUUAUAAUAUAGGCCUCCAAUAUAUGGAAAGGAUUUCUAAAAAAAUAUCUGCACUAAAAUCAAGCAAUCCCUAAAAAAGAACCUAAAGAUGGGUACAGAUUGGCCAAACUGCACCUGUAUUGUAACAGUGCAAUACAGGUUCACGGAAAAAACAACGCUAUGAACUCGUCACGCAUCUCCAGCGAACUGCU
Molecule: long non-coding RNA, 898 nt
Filed under: Androctonus crassicauda
Lineage: Eukaryota; Metazoa; Arthropoda; Arachnida; Scorpiones; Buthidae
Source: RNAcentral